AAGGAAACAACAAACAACACAAAUGCUUUUAUGAUUCAUUGAGUGCCAAAUGUACAUCAUUUCAUCGUUUGGGAAUACCCUUAAUAAGUCCUACGGCUAAUUGGUUAGUCGAUAACCGAAAAAGCCGCAACACGCGCACGCGCACGUCCGUUUACUAGAGGGUUAGAUGGACGGACGGAUGGACGGAUGGAUGGAUGGAUGGGGACUCUGCAAAUGGUUGCAUCGACAUCAUCAACAUUUUCCGCCUAUUUGUUUGCAACAAACAAAAUUAAAACAAUCAUAAAAAUAAAAGUGAGAUGGAAACAACAAGCACAGGGAACAGGAAUGAACGAAGAAGGGCCACUCCUUUUUGGUCAUCAGCCAAGCGACCAGCGGACCAACGGACGAACGAACCAACCCUCCGACAAAUGAUUCAAUGGAAGCCGUUAAAACGACACGCGUCAGAAAUCAAAUGUCAAAAACCUAGAGCCAAGUAUUGAUGGGGGCCAGCGAGAUCCCUCAUCCGCAUCCCUAGACGCCUUUUGUAGCCAAUUGCUUGGCGCACACUUUAGCAAUUUUCGAUACAUUUCCCUCGAUUUGUGUGUGUGUGUGCGUGCGUGUUUGGGUAGUAUAGGCAUUGUGCAUUAACAAUUACUUUUAUUCGUUUGUCAUGGAACAUUGUUAGAGCUGAAUU
Molecule: long non-coding RNA, 673 nt
Organism: Drosophila willistoni
Lineage: Eukaryota; Metazoa; Arthropoda; Insecta; Diptera; Drosophilidae
Exons: 3
Source: RefSeq, a predicted model, not a curated record